GUUGCUGCUGCUCGCCAUCGAUCCCACCACUGCCACCACUGCUGCUACUGCUCCGCAGGUGCUGCUGGUGGUGAUGAUGAUAGUCCGGCGGGGGCGCUGGGGCCGCGG
This is a non-coding RNA of Bos taurus (domestic cattle), 108 nucleotides long. The record is from Rfam. NCBI's taxonomy places the organism in Eukaryota, Metazoa, Chordata, Mammalia, Artiodactyla, Bovidae.